RNAcentral lists this long non-coding RNA (318 nucleotides) under Ananas comosus (pineapple). Its description in RNAcentral is "long non-coding RNA (ACOM_LNC032970)". Lineage: Eukaryota; Viridiplantae; Streptophyta; Magnoliopsida; Poales; Bromeliaceae. The record is from RNAcentral.
CCUCUUCGACCCCUCUCUCCUCCCCCUCUCCCUCUCCGCUCACCACCCCGACUCCCUCUUCAUCGCCCACGACCUCCACUACUGCUCCUACUCCGAUCCCCUCCUCGCCCUCGACCUCCUGAACCCUAACCCUAGCCCCUUCGACCUCUGCCCCUUCUUCGCCUUCGACCUCGACCUCGACCUCGCCGCCGCCGAUCUCGCCUCGUUCCGGCGCUUCCGCGAGCGCGCCGAGGCCGAGGCCUCGCUCCGCAGCCUCGGCGACCGCGUCGCCGCUCUCGAGCUAGGGUUCGACCGCGCCGUCGCCGGCGAUCGGAGGUA